CCUACGGGAGGCAGCAGUGAGGAAUAUUGGUCAAUGGGCGAGAGCCUGAACCAGCCAAGUCGCGUGAGGGAGUACUGCCCUAUGGGUUGUAAACCUCUUUUGUCGGGGAGCAAAAGCCGGACGUGUCCGGCUGUGAGAGUACCCGCAGAAAAAGCAUCGGCUAACUCGGCGUCAGCAGCCGCGUUAAUACGGGGGAUGCGAGCGUUAUCCGGAUUUUUUGGGUUUAAAGGGUGCGCAGGCGGAUUUUUAAGUCAGCGGUAAAAUCGUGGGGCUCAACCCCAUCGAGCCGUUGAAACUGGGGUUCAUGAGUGGGCGAGAAGUAUGCGGAAUGCGUGGUGUAGCGGUGAAAUGCAUAGAUAUCACGCAGAACCCCGAUUGCGAAGGCAGCAUACCGGUGCACAACUGACGCUCAGGCACGAAAGCGUGGGUAUCGAACAGGAUUAGAUACCCUUGUAGUC
RNAcentral lists this ribosomal RNA (458 nucleotides) under uncultured bacterium. RNAcentral describes it as "partial 16S ribosomal RNA". It matches the Rfam family "Bacterial small subunit ribosomal RNA", at positions 338 to 795 of the family's 1533-position model. The record is from RNAcentral.